CACGCCGUAAACUAUGGAAGCUAGCCGUCAGUCAGCUUGCUGAGUGGUGGCGCAGCUAACGCAUUAAGCUUCCCGCCUGGGGAGUACGGUCGCAAGAUUAAAACUCAAAGGAAUUGACGG
RNAcentral lists this ribosomal RNA (120 nucleotides) under uncultured bacterium. RNAcentral describes it as "partial 16S ribosomal RNA". It matches the Rfam family "Bacterial small subunit ribosomal RNA", at positions 796 to 916 of the family's 1533-position model. The record is from RNAcentral.